CCUUUUGGAAGAAGUCGUCGAAGGUGGAAUCAAUAACUGGGGUGAAGUCGUAACAAGGUAGCCGUAUCGGAAGGUGCGGCUGGAUCACCUCCUUUCUAAGGAGA
RNAcentral lists this ribosomal RNA (104 nucleotides) under Clostridioides sp. ES-S-0056-01. RNAcentral describes it as "partial 16S ribosomal RNA". It matches the Rfam family "Bacterial small subunit ribosomal RNA", at positions 1439 to 1533 of the family's 1533-position model. RNAcentral also lists the same sequence under 1 other name. The record is from RNAcentral. Lineage: Bacteria; Bacillati; Bacillota; Clostridia; Peptostreptococcales; Peptostreptococcaceae.